CCUACGGGGGGCAGCAGUGAGGAAUAUUGGUCAAUGGCCGGAAGGCUGAACCAGCCAUGCCGCGUGAAGGUCAGUGCCCUAUGGGCGUUAAACUUCUUUUGUGCGGGAGCAAUAAUGGUCACGUGUGGCCAGACGAGAGUUCCGUACGAAUAAGCAUCGGCUAACUCCGUGCCAGCAGCCGCGGUAAUACGGGGGGUGCAAGCGUUAUCCGGAUUUAUUGGGUUUAAAGGGUGCGUAGGCUGUGCGGUAAGUCAGCGGUGAAAUGCCCGCGCUCAACGGGGUGAAGUGCCAUUGAUACUGCCUGGCUGGAAUGCGGAUGCGGUGGGAGGAAUGUGUGGUGUAGCGGUGAAAUGCAUAGAUAUCACACAGAACACCGAUUGCGAAGGCAUCUCACGAAUCCGCGAUUGACGCUGAUGCACGAAAGCGUGGGUAUCAAACAGGAUUAGAUACCCCAGUAGUC
Molecule: ribosomal RNA, 460 nt
Filed under: uncultured bacterium
Lineage: Bacteria
Description: partial 16S ribosomal RNA
Rfam family: Bacterial small subunit ribosomal RNA
Source: RNAcentral